RNAcentral lists this ribosomal RNA (253 nucleotides) under uncultured bacterium. Its description in RNAcentral is "partial 16S ribosomal RNA". It matches the Rfam family "Bacterial small subunit ribosomal RNA", at positions 524 to 776 of the family's 1533-position model. The record is from RNAcentral.
UACAGAGGGGGCCAGCGUUAUUCGGAAUUAUUGGGCGUAAAGGGUGCGUAGGCGGCGCGGUAAGUCGGGUGUGAAAUCUCGGAGCUUAACUCCGAAACUGCAUUCGAUACUGCCGUGCUUGAGGACUGGAGAGGAGACUGGAAUUUACGGUGUAGCGGUGAAAUGCGUAGAUAUCGUAAGGAAGACCAGUGGCGAAGGCGGGUCUCUGGACAGUUCCUGACGCUGAGGCACGAAGGUCAGGGGAGCAAACGGG